This 1487-nucleotide ribosomal RNA is filed under the name Lactobacillus sp. DPP8. RNAcentral's name for it is "bacterial SSU rRNA". It matches the Rfam family "Bacterial small subunit ribosomal RNA". Lineage: Bacteria; Bacillati; Bacillota; Bacilli; Lactobacillales; Lactobacillaceae. The record is from RNAcentral.
GGGCGGGGGGGGGGGGGGGCUAAUACUUGCAAGUCGAACGAACUCUGGUAUUGAUUGGUGCUUGCAUCAUGAUUUACAUUUGAGUGAGUGGCGAACUGGUGAGUAACACGUGGGAAACCUGCCCAGAAGCGGGGGAUAACACCUGGAAACAGAUGCUAAUACCGCAUAACAACUUGGACCGCAUGGUCCGAGCUUGAAAGAUGGCUUCGGCUAUCACUUUUGGAUGGUCCCGCGGCGUAUUAGCUAGAUGGUGGGGUAACGGCUCACCAUGGCAAUGAUACGUAGCCGACCUGAGAGGGUAAUCGGCCACAUUGGGACUGAGACACGGCCCAAACUCCUACGGGAGGCAGCAGUAGGGAAUCUUCCACAAUGGACGAAAGUCUGAUGGAGCAACGCCGCGUGAGUGAAGAAGGGUUUCGGCUCGUAAAACUCUGUUGUUAAAGAAGAACAUAUCUGAGAGUAACUGUUCAGGUAUUGACGGUAUUUAACCAGAAAGCCACGGCUAACUACGUGCCAGCAGCCGCGGUAAUACGUAGGUGGCAAGCGUUGUCCGGAUUUAUUGGGCGUAAAGCGAGCGCAGGCGGUUUUUUAAGUCUGAUGUGAAAGCCUUCGGCUCAACCGAAGAAGUGCAUCGGAAACUGGGAAACUUGAGUGCAGAAGAGGACAGUGGAACUCCAUGUGUAGCGGUGAAAUGCGUAGAUAUAUGGAAGAACACCAGUGGCGAAGGCGGCUGUCUGGUCUGUAACUGACGCUGAGGCUCGAAAGUAUGGGUAGCAAACAGGAUUAGAUACCCUGGUAGUCCAUACCGUAAACGAUGAAUGCUAAGUGUUGGAGGGUUUCCGCCCUUCAGUGCUGCAGCUAACGCAUUAAGCAUUCCGCCUGGGGAGUACGGCCGCAAGGCUGAAACUCAAAGGAAUUGACGGGGGCCCGCACAAGCGGUGGAGCAUGUGGUUUAAUUCGAAGCUACGCGAAGAACCUUACCAGGUCUUGACAUACUAUGCAAAUCUAAGAGAUUAGACGUUCCCUUCGGGGACAUGGAUACAGGUGGUGCAUGGUUGUCGUCAGCUCGUGUCGUGAGAUGUUGGGUUAAGUCCCGCAACGAGCGCAACCCUUAUUAUCAGUUGCCAGCAUUAAGUUGGGCACUCUGGUGAGACUGCCGGUGACAAACCGGAGGAAGGUGGGGAUGACGUCAAAUCAUCAUGCCCCUUAUGACCUGGGCUACACACGUGCUACAAUGGAUGGUACAACGAGUUGCGAACUCGCGAGAGUAAGCUAAUCUCUUAAAGCCAUUCUCAGUUCGGAUUGUAGGCUGCAACUCGCCUACAUGAAGUCGGAAUCGCUAGUAAUCGCGGAUCAGCAUGCCGCGGUGAAUACGUUCCCGGGCCUUGUACACACCGCCCGUCACACCAUGAGAGUUUGUAACACCCAAAGUCGGUGGGGUAACCUUGUAGGAAACCAGCCGCCUAAAGGUGGUACCCAGAAUGUUG